CAUAGCGACUAUCGUGGCAUAUCAAUAAGCGGAGGAAAAGAAACUAACAAGGAUUCCCCUAGUAACGGCGAGUGAAGCGGGAAGAGCUCAAAUUUGAAAUCUUAAAGGGUUUCCCUUUACGAAUUGUAGUUUAAAGAAGUGUUUUCUGUUGGAGUUUCGGUAAAAGUUCUUUGGAAUAGGACAUCAUAGAGGGUGAGAAUCCCGUAUUUGACCGUUACUUUCCAGCUGUGUGAUACACUUUCAAAGAGUCGGAUUGUUUGGGAAUGCAGUCCAAAAUGGGUGGUAAAUUUCAUCUAAAGCUAAAUAUUGGCGAGAGACCGAUAGCGAACAAGUACCGUGAGGGAAAGAUGAAAGAACUUUGAAAAGAGAGUUAAACAGUACGUGAAAUUGUCAAAAGGGAAGCGUUUGACACCAGUGUUGUUUAGUUGAAAAUCAAUUCAAUAAUUUUUGAUUUUGAGUAGUAUUGACUUCAUCAGCUUGCUGCUUUCUUUUCAGGAAAUUAUUGAAUGCACUUUUCAGUUAACAAGUCAACAUCAAUUUCUUUUGUUGUAAAAGGGUAAGAGGAAGGUGGCUUACGCUUCGGCGUAAGUGUUUAUAGCCUUUUACCUCUGCAAUCGGAGAGAUUGAGGACAGCAGCGUAGACUCUUCGGGGUUAGAUACACUUGUGCUAAGCUAUAGCCUUGUAUAGACAACUUGUUGACUAUGCUCAGUCAUGUAGCUUACUCGCUUGUGCUAUUUUACCUACGCUUAGGAUGUUGAUAUGCAUGACUGAUAU
This 775-nucleotide ribosomal RNA is filed under the name uncultured Neocallimastigales. RNAcentral's name for it is "partial large subunit ribosomal RNA". It matches the Rfam family "Eukaryotic large subunit ribosomal RNA", at positions 22 to 635 of the family's 3401-position model. Lineage: Eukaryota; Fungi; Neocallimastigomycota; Neocallimastigomycetes; Neocallimastigales. The record is from RNAcentral.